GACGUAGGGCGCGAGCGUUGUCCGGAUUUAUUGGGCGUAAAGAGCUCGUAGGCGGCUUGUCGCGUCGUCCGUGAAAACCUGGGGCUCAACCCCAGGCUUGCGGUCGAUACGGGCAGGCUGGAGUUCGGUAGGGGAGACUGGAAUUCCUGGUGUAGCGGUGAAAUGCGCAGAUAUCAGGAGGAACACCGGUGGCGAAGGCGGGUCUCUGGGCCGAUACUGACGCUGAGGAGCGAAAGCGUGGGGAGCGAACAGG
Molecule: ribosomal RNA, 253 nt
Filed under: uncultured bacterium
Lineage: Bacteria
Description: partial 16S ribosomal RNA
Rfam family: Bacterial small subunit ribosomal RNA
Source: RNAcentral